Molecule: ribosomal RNA, 502 nt
Filed under: uncultured bacterium
Lineage: Bacteria
Description: partial 16S ribosomal RNA
Rfam family: Bacterial small subunit ribosomal RNA
Source: RNAcentral
GAUGAACGCUAGCGGCAGGCCUAACACAUGCAAGUCGAGGGGCAGCACAGAAACAGCAAUGUUUUGGUGGCGACCGGCGGACGGGUGCGUAACGCGUAUGCAACCUACCUUUAACAGGGGGAUAACGGAGAGAAAUUUCCACUAAUACCCCAUAACAUCGAUCAAGGCAUCUUGAUUGGUUGAAAACUCCGGUGGAUAAAGAUGGGCAUGCGUUGUAUUAGGUAGUUGGUGAGGUAAUGGCUCACCAAGCCUACGAUACAUAGGGGGACUGAGAGGUUAGCCCCCCACACUGGUACUGAGACACGGACCAGACUCCUACGGGAGGCAGCAGUGAGGAAUAUUGGUCAAUGGGGGCAACCCUGAACCAGCCAUGCCGCGUGCAGGAAGACGGCUCUAUGAGUUGUAAACUGCUUUUAAACAGGGAUAAAGCACAGUAUGUAUACUGUGUUGAAGGUACUGUAAGAAUAAGGAUCGGCUAACUCCGUGCCAGCAGCCGCCGUAA